Molecule: long non-coding RNA, 611 nt
Organism: Solanum tuberosum (potato)
Lineage: Eukaryota; Viridiplantae; Streptophyta; Magnoliopsida; Solanales; Solanaceae
Exons: 2
Source: RefSeq, a predicted model, not a curated record
AAAAUCAACUCAUUUUUCUCCACAACUACACACCUCUCACAUUUCUUCAUUUUUUUUUGUUACAAAAAAUAAAUAAAAUGAAAGAUCAAUUUCAUGAAUUAAACUUUAGGGAAUUUAUGGAUGAGUUAACAAAGCAAGAACAAAGUUUUUUUCAGAAAAAAGCAGCUGAGAAUAAUAAUGAGAAAUCAUAUGUUACUGAAAUUUUUGGUGAGCUUUAUUUUAAAGAAAAUAAUGGUGAGUACUCAUUCAUAAAAGACUUUUUUCCUCCAAUGCCAAAAAAAAGUUCUAGUGAAAAUAAUGCUAAUUAUAAAGCAUCUAUUUCUCAAGCUGAAUUUGAGAAAAUUAAUUUCAGUGAGAAGCUACCAAAUGGUGAUGAUAUUGUUGUCAAUUAUGUGAAUGAUGAGAUGCAAAAAGGUAAAGGAGGAAAAAAAAUCAAAUGAUGCUUAGAAGGAAGAUCUUAGCUAAUGUUAUUAAUGUGUUGCAUGUUUGUAUCUUGUCUUCAUUAAGUUAAAUAAACAUCAUCAAUAUCUUUUUAAUGCAUGUUUGUAACUUUGGCUUUAUUAAGUUAAAUAAACAUCAUCAAUAUUUUAUUGAUGUGUAUUGUUCAAUUA